AAAACAUGUGAGUUUUCUAAGGAGUAAUAAUUAUUGCACAACACACGCAGUCACACAAAUGUGUAAACAUAUCAAUCUAGUCAUCCGACUAGUUAUAUGCUCACGCAGCCAGUCACACAAAUGGCACAUCACCAGCACUCACAAUCAUUAACAUCUUCAUAUAAUCACAUCACGUGGAAAUUAGUCUGUGGAGUCACUGAA
RNAcentral lists this long non-coding RNA (201 nucleotides) under Jatropha curcas. Its description in RNAcentral is "long non-coding RNA (JCUR_LNC003168)". Lineage: Eukaryota; Viridiplantae; Streptophyta; Magnoliopsida; Malpighiales; Euphorbiaceae. The record is from RNAcentral.